CAGCUCAGUGUUCAGGGUCAUU
RNAcentral lists this microRNA (22 nucleotides) under Eisenia fetida (common brandling worm). RNAcentral describes it as "Efe-Mir-10-P5a_3p* (star (passenger))". Lineage: Eukaryota; Metazoa; Annelida; Clitellata; Crassiclitellata; Lumbricidae. The record is from RNAcentral.